RNAcentral lists this ribosomal RNA (744 nucleotides) under uncultured bacterium. RNAcentral's name for it is "bacterial SSU rRNA". It matches the Rfam family "Bacterial small subunit ribosomal RNA", at positions 8 to 796 of the family's 1533-position model. The record is from RNAcentral.
AGAGUUUGAUCAUGGCUCAGGACGAACGCUGGCGGCAUGCCUCAUACAUGCAAGUCGAACGAAGGCUUCGGCCUUAGUGGCGCACGGGUGAGUAGCGCGUGGGAACCUACCCUUUUGUGGGGGAUAACCGAGGGAAACUUCGGCUAAUACCGCAUACGCCGGGUGACCGGGAAAGAUUUAUCGCAGAAGGAUGGGCCCGCGUCGGAUUAGCUAGUUGGUGGGGUAAUGGCCUACCAAGGCAAUGAUCCGUAGCUGGUCUGAGAGGAUGAUCAGCCACACUGGGACUGAGACACGGCCCAGACUCCUACGGGAGGCAGCAGUAGGGAAUAUUGGACAAUGGGCGAAAGCCUGAUCCAGCAAUGCCGCGUGAGUGAGGAAGGCCUUAGGGUUGUAAAGCUCUUUCGGCGGGGACGAUGAUGACGGUACCCGCAGAAGAAGCCCCGGCUAACUUCGUGCCAGCAGCCGCGGUAAUACGAAGGGGGCGAGCGUUGUUCGGAAUUACUGGGCGUAAAGGGCGCGUAGGCGGCCAUCUUUGUCAGGCGUGAAAGCCCUGGGCUCAACCCAGGAAUUGCGCUUGGGACGGGUUGGCUUGAGUUCGGGAGAGGAGAGUGGAAUUCCCAGUGUAGAGGUGAAAUUCGUAGAUAUUGGGAAGAACACCGGUGGCGAAGGCGGCUCUCUGGACCGAUACUGACGCUGAGGCGCGAAAGCGUGGGGAGCAAACAGGAUUAGAUACCCCCGUAGUCC